Molecule: long non-coding RNA, 1191 nt
Filed under: Homo sapiens (human)
Lineage: Eukaryota; Metazoa; Chordata; Mammalia; Primates; Hominidae
Description: HSALNT0230898
Source: RNAcentral
GGACAGGGCCUGGGGACAUCUGAGGGAAGUGAUCCGGGGGGCUGCCGCCCACCGAGAGGGGCAGGCUUCGACAGCGCCACCCUGCCGCACAUGCCCGGCGCCUCGCCGGCCCUCUCCAAAGGUGUCCAGGGGCUGCGCCGCGACACUUUCCACCGAGCGUCUGCCAGCAGCUGGACCCCGCUCUCCAAUGGCCGCCGCCGCCAAGUCCCCGGGGCUCCCGCACUCCGGGCCGGGCGCGAAGGUCACCGCCCUGCACCACCUUGGGCUGCGCGUCCAUUUCCAAGAGGCAGGCAGUGGGGAGAGGGGAGCGGGGGCGCUGUGUUCCCUUUCCCUCUCAUCACUAACCUCCCACCUUCCAGCGGUUUCUGAAAGUGAGUUAAGGGGAGCAAAAGUCACUUCUCUUUCCGGAGCCAUCAGAAGAGUUUAGGAAAAGGUCUCCAGAAGAAGAAUUCUUAGCGAUCUACAGGCAAGAGAUUUGCUCUCUAAACUCCUCCUUCUCCCAGAAGAGCUCUCCUACCCAGAGUCCCUCAUGCUCAGCAUGCAGUGCAGACAGAAAUAGCAGCCAUCUACAUGAAUUGUGGAUCCACGCACUCAUUCCAAGAUCUUCUUUCAGCGAGCAAUGGAUUCUUCAUGCAUGUGAUCCUCACUACGUACCCUACAAAGACCUUGCUAAUGCUUAGAGAUCAAAUUAUUUGUGUAUCUUUUCAGUGGAGGAAAUGAUCCAUCCACCUGAUAGUGUGUGAGCUUGUAUCCCCUCCUUCUUUUUCCCUCUCAUGGGAAAACAAAUCAACUGUUUUUCCUUUUCCUUCUCACAGACUGCAAGUCAUGCUAUCUUUCACCAAGGAGGAAAAGUUGCAUCUGAGUUAUUGCUGUGAAGAAGUAGUUUGCAGGCACGGGCAGCUGGCAUUUUUUUGUCUCUAUGUGAAGAGGAUCAAUGCAAUUCAUGUUUUCUUGUUCGCACAAAGCUAGAUUUGAAAAUUCCUGGAAAAUCAAGGAAAUGUUUAGAGAAAUUGUUAAAAUUUUGGGAAACAGGAAAUCUGAGAGGAAGGUCAGGUUUUCGUAGUCUGGAUAUGCUAUCGGAGAAGUGAGAAGGGGUGAGAAGAUGGGUAGGGUGAGCUUCUUUCUUUUCUAGGCGCUCAUCCCCUGAUUGGCCAAUGUGUUGGUUUCCUAGGGCUGCUGUAACAAAUAAAG